RNAcentral lists this ribosomal RNA (460 nucleotides) under uncultured bacterium. RNAcentral describes it as "partial 16S ribosomal RNA". It matches the Rfam family "Bacterial small subunit ribosomal RNA", at positions 338 to 795 of the family's 1533-position model. The record is from RNAcentral.
CCUACGGGUGGCAGCAGUGAGGAAGAGGGGGCAAGGGGCGGAAGCCUGAACCAGCCAAGGAGCGUGCAGGAGGACGGCCCGACGGGUUGUAAACUGCUUUUAUACGGGAAUAACGCGCCUUACGUGUAGGGCUUUGCAUGUACCGUAUGAAUAAGGACCGGCUCAGUCCUGUCCCGCAGCCGCGGUAAUACGGAAGGUCCGGGCGUUAUCCGGAUUUCUUGGGUUUAAAGGGGGCGUAGGCCGCAUGUCAAGCGUGCUGUGCAAUGUCCGGGCUCAACCCGGGCCUUGCAGCGCGAACUGGCGUGCUUGAGUCCGCGGAAAGCAGGCGGAAUUCGUCGUGUAGCGGUGAAAUGCUGAGAUAUGACGAAGAACCCCGAUUGCGAAGGCAGCUUGCUGCAGCGGAACUGACGCUGAUGCUCGAAAGCGCGGGUAUCGAACAGGAUUAGAUACCCUUGUAGUC